Molecule: ribosomal RNA, 382 nt
Filed under: uncultured eukaryote
Lineage: Eukaryota
Description: SSU rRNA
Rfam family: Eukaryotic small subunit ribosomal RNA
Source: RNAcentral
AGCUCCAAUAGCGUAUAUUAAAGUUGUUGCAGUUAAAAAGCUCGUAGUUGGAUCUCAGGUCCAGGCUUGCGGUCCACUCCUUGGUGGCUACUGCUCGUCCUGACCUACCUCCCGGUUUUACCCUUGGUGCUCUUGAUUGAGUGUCUCGGGUGGCCGGAACAUUUACUUUGAAAAAAUUAGAGUGUUCAAAGCAGGCAAUUCGCCUGAAUAAUGGUGCAUGGAAUAAUGGAAUAGGACCUCGGUUCUAUUUUGUUGGUUUUCGGAACUUGAGGUAAUGAUUAAGAGGGACAGACGGGGGCAUUCGUAUUACGGUGUUAGAGGUGAAAUUCUUGGAUCGCCGUAAGACGAACUACUGCGAAAGCAUUUGCCAAGAAUGUUUUCA